CGUGAAACUGUUCAGGGGUAAACCUGAGAAACCCAAAAGAUCGAAUGGGGAGAUUCAACGUAGACCGUGUCGAUUGCUGUGUGAUGCGCGAUAUUCUUUGCCUCGGUAUCGAGUACGCCAUUGCUGCGGUAUCAUUGGCAUGGUAAGCGUGCACUUCUCCCCUAGUAGGACGUCGCGACCCGUUGGGUGUCGGUCUACGGCCCGUUUGGUUGCCUGUCGCUUGGGCGUUUAUAGCGCUUUUCGCGGCAGACCUUCGGUUGCCCGGCCGACUGCCCGGCGGUAUUGAUAAAAAUCACGAAGGUAUAUGGCCGCAUUCAUGUGCGUCCUGGCUCGUCGGCAGGCUUGCCUCGCUCGGUAAUACGGACCUAGUGCCGUUGCCGGGUGCUUGGUUGGGCUGUUAGUCGACGAUGUCCUCGGACUGGCUUUAUUGUACCGGUCGGCGACGCUACUGCUUUGGGUACUUUCAGGACCCGUCUUGAAACACGGACCAAGGAGUCUAACAUGUACGCGAGUCAUUGGGACUUGACAAAGCCUAAAGGCGUAAUGAAAGUGAAGAUCUUCCUUAGCGUUGAUCGAGGGAGGAUGGUCGGCUCUUUGGAGCCGGCUCGCACUCCCGGGGCGUCUCGUGCUCAUUACGAGCAGAGGCGCACCUAGAGCGU
This 659-nucleotide ribosomal RNA is filed under the name Aphytis hispanicus. RNAcentral describes it as "eukaryotic LSU rRNA". It matches the Rfam family "Eukaryotic large subunit ribosomal RNA", at positions 398 to 803 of the family's 3401-position model. Lineage: Eukaryota; Metazoa; Arthropoda; Insecta; Hymenoptera; Aphelinidae. The record is from RNAcentral.